This 731-nucleotide ribosomal RNA is filed under the name Aeromonas sp. Its description in RNAcentral is "partial 16S ribosomal RNA". It matches the Rfam family "Bacterial small subunit ribosomal RNA", at positions 140 to 865 of the family's 1533-position model. The record is from RNAcentral. Lineage: Bacteria; Pseudomonadati; Pseudomonadota; Gammaproteobacteria; Aeromonadales; Aeromonadaceae.
GGNAUAAUAUAUUGGAAACGACUGCUAAUACCGCAUACNCCCUACNGGCGGAANGGAGGGGACCUUCGGGCCUUUCGCGAUUGGAUGAACCCAGGUGGNAUUAGCUAGUUGGUGGGGUAAUGGCUCACCAAGGNGACGAUCCCUAGCUGGUCUNAUAGGAUGAUCAGCCACACUGGAACUGANACACGGUCCAGACUCCUACGGGAGNNAGCAGUGGGGAAUAUUGCACAAUGGGGGAAACCCUGAUGCAGCCAUGCCGCGUGUGUGAAGAAGGCCUUCGGGUUGUAAAGCACUUUCAGCGAGGAGGAAAGGUUGGCGCCUAAUACGUGUCAACUGUGACGUUACUCGCAGAAGAAGCACCGGCUAACUCCGUGCCAGCAGCCGCGGUAAUACGGAGGGUGCAAGCGUUAAUCGGAAUUACUGGGCGUAAAGCGCACGCAGGCGGUUGGAUAAGUUAGAUGUGAAAGCCCCGGGCUCAACCUGGGAAUUGCAUUUAAAACUGUCCAGCUAGAGUCUUGUAGAGGGGGGUAGAAUUCCAGGUGUAGCGGUGAAAUUGCGUANAGAUCUGGAGGAAUACCGGUGGCGAAGGCGGCCCCCUGGACAAAGACUGACGCUCAGGUGCGAAAGCGUGGGGAGCAAACAGGAUUAAAUACCCUGGUAGUCCCGCCGUAAACGAUGUCNAUUUGNAGGCUGUGUCCUUGAAACUGGCUUCCGGANCUANCNCNUUAAUC